RNAcentral lists this long non-coding RNA (1076 nucleotides) under Equus caballus (horse). Its description in RNAcentral is "lncRNA (ENSECAG00000041836.2)". The record is from RNAcentral. Lineage: Eukaryota; Metazoa; Chordata; Mammalia; Perissodactyla; Equidae.
CUGUUAUGCAACAACUGGUAACUAAGACAGAUUUUGGUACCAAGAGUGAGGUGCUACCCUUACAAAAGUUUAAAUGAGAGAGUGGCUUUGAAAACAGGCAGUGGACAGAAGUGGAAAGACUUCGAGGAAAGUGUCAGUGAAAGCCUGAAGAACCUGCUAAGUAGAAGCCUUUGUGGAGGCCACAGAGUACCACCUGGCCUACAGCCUUGAAUGACUGAUCUUCAUAACAUGUUAUCCCACUUCUUGAUCAUGGCUACUGGACCAGUGACCGACACCUGCUCAAGACUGGCCAAUCAUAUUUCCUCUUCCAUGCCUCUGGAAUCUGAACACUAAAAUGUUACUACACUUGGCAGCAAACCAAGGAGAGGUCAUGCAGAGCAAAGACUGCCAACUAGGAGUGAUAUAAACCAAUUGCGAUAAUUAAGAUCACCUGUUCUGGGGGAAGCCCGAUGCUAUUUCGUAAGGAGACUCAAGCAGCCCUAUGGAUAGGGCCACACAGCAAGAAACUGAGGCCUCUUGCCAACAACCAGCAGCAACUGGCUAGGUAUGUGAGUGAGCUGGCUUGGAAGCAGAUAUUUCAGACCCAGAGAAAUCUCCAGAUGACUACAGCCCCAGCUGACAUCUUGACUGCAGCCUCGUGAAAGACUGCGAGCCAGAAAUGCAGAGAAAAUACAGACAUUAAAUAUACAAUUACAAGUAUGAUGGCUGCCCAGAGGUCCCAAGACCAGACCCAAGAAAUGGCUCUCAGAGAAACCCUGACAGAUCCACACUCAACUCUACCUGAGCCGCAAGCUAAAACUUACCUCCAAGAGAGACCUGCCUCAUUGCUGUCUUGAAGUGUGGCCCUGCUCACUGAUCAAAUAGAGGCUAUGGAAAUAAAAACUGAAGAUAAAGCAAGAAUCACUCCAUUUCCUUAAGGAAAAUCGUGAGUUCCUGAAAUGCGGAGUACACCGUUCACUCAUUCUUCCAUUCAGUCAUUGAAGAAAUCGUAAACACCUACCAAGUUCCAGGCCUUGUACUAGGGAUUCUGAGAAAAGCAGAUCCUUGACCUCAGGGAGCUAACAAUCUAAAUCAGG